This 377-nucleotide ribosomal RNA is filed under the name uncultured eukaryote. RNAcentral describes it as "partial 18S ribosomal RNA". It matches the Rfam family "Eukaryotic small subunit ribosomal RNA", at positions 592 to 976 of the family's 1831-position model. The record is from RNAcentral.
CAGUAGCGUAUAUUUAAGUUGCUGCAGUUAAAAAGCUCGUAGUUGGAUUUCGGGUGGGAAUGGCCGGUCCGCCGUUUCGGUGUGCACUUGCUACGCCCACCUUGCUGCCGGGGACGUGCUCUUGAGUUCACGCUCGGGACACGGAGUCGGCGAGGUUACUUUGAGUAAAUUAGAGUGUUCGAAGCAGGCCUACGCUCUGAAUACAUUAGCAUGGAAUAACACGAUAGGACUCUGGCCUAUCUUGUUGGUCUGUAGGACCGGAGUAAUGAUUAAGAGGGACAGUCGGGGGCAUUCGUAUUUCAUUGUCAAAGGUGAAAUUCUUGGAUUUAUGAAAGACGAACUACUGCGAAAGCAUUUGCCAAGGAUGUUUUCAUUAA